UGAACGCUGGCGGCAGGCCUAACACAUGCAAGUCGAACGGUAACAGGAAGAAGCUUGCUUCUUUGCUGACGAGUGGCGGACGGGUGAGUAAUGUCUGGGAAACUGCCUGAUGGAGGGGGAUAACUACUGGAAACGGUAGCUAAUACCGCAUAACGUCGCAAGACCAAAGAGGGGGACCUUCGGGCCUCUUGCCAUCGGAUGUGCCCAGAUGGGAUUAGCUAGUAGGUGGGGUAAAGGCUCACCUAGGCGACGAUCCCUAGCUGGUCUGAGAGGAUGACCAGCCACACUGGAACUGAGACACGGUCCAGACUCCUACGGGAGGCAGCAGUGGGGAAUAUUGCACAAUGGGCGCAAGCCUGAUGCAGCCAUGCCGCGUGUAUGAAGAAGGCCUUCGGGUUGUAAAGUACUUUCAGCGGGGAGGAAGGGAGUAAAGUUAAUACCUUUGCUCAUUGACGUUACCCGCAGAAGAAGCACCGGCUAACUCCGUGCCAGCAGCCGCGGUAAUACGGAGGGUGCAAGCGUUAAUCGGAAUUACUGGGCGUAAAGCGCACGCAGGCGGUUUGUUAGGUCAGAUGUGAAAUCCCCGGGCUCAACCUGGGAACUGCAUCUGAUACUGGCAAGCUUGAGUCUCGUAGAGGGGGGUAGAAUUCCAGGUGUAGCGGUGAAAUGCGUAGAGAUCUGGAGGAAUACCGGUGGCGAAGGCGGCCCCCUGGACGAAGACUGACGCUCAGGUGCGAAAGCGUGGGGAGCAAAACAGGAUUAGAUACCCUGGUAGUCCACGCCGUAAACGAUGUCGACUUGGAGGUUGUGCCCUUGAGGCGUGGCUUCCGGAGCUAACGCGUUAAGUCGACCGCCUGGGGAGUCCGGCCGCAAGGUUAAAACUUCAAUGAAUUGACCGGGGCCCCCCCAACGGUGGAGCAUGUGGUUUAAAUUGGAAUGCAACGCGAAGAAACCUUACUGGGUCUUGACAUCCACAAGAACUUUCCAGAGAUGGAUUGGUGCCUUCGGGAACUGUGAGACAGGUGCUGCAUGGCUGUCGUCAGCUCGUGUUGUGAAAUGUUGGGUUAAGUCCCGCAACGAGCGCAACCCUUAUCCUUUGUUGCCAGCGGUCCGGCCGGGAACUCAAAGGAGACUGCCAGUGAUAAACUGGGGGAAGGUGGGGAUGACGUCAAGUCAUCAUGGCCCUUACGACCAGGGCUACACACGUGCUACAAUGGCGCAUACAAAGAGAAGCGACCUCGCGAGAGCAAGCGGACCUCAUAAAGUGCGUCGUAGUCCGGAUUGGAGUCUGCAACUCGACUCCACGAAGUCGGAAUCGCUAGUAAUCGUGGAUCAGAAUGCCACGGUGAAUACGUUCCCGGGCCUUGUACACACCGCCCGUCACACCAUGGGAGUGGGUUGCAAAAGAAGUAGGUAGCUUAACCUUCGGGAGGGCGCUUACCACUUUGUGAUUCAUGACUGGG
Molecule: ribosomal RNA, 1463 nt
Filed under: uncultured organism
Description: SSU rRNA
Rfam family: Bacterial small subunit ribosomal RNA
Source: RNAcentral